AUUGAACGCUGGCGGCAUGCCUAACACAUGCAAGUCGACCGAGUGGCGGACUGGUGAGUAAUGUCUGGGAAACUGCCUGAUGGAGGGGGAUAACUCCUGGAAACGGUAGCUAAUACCGCAUACCAUCGGAUGUGCCCAGAGGGGAUUAGCUAGUAGGUGUGGUAACGGCGAACCUAGGCCACGAUCCCUAGCUGGUCUGAGAGGAUGACAAGCCACACUGGAACUGAGACACGGUCCAGACGCGUACGGGAGGCAGCAGUGGGGAAUAUUGCACAAUGGGCGCAAUCCUGAUGCAGCCAUGCCGCGUGUAUGAAGAAGGCCUUCGGGUUGUAAAGUACUUUCAGCGGGGAGGCGUUACCAGCAGAAGAAGCACCGGCUAACUCCGUGCCAGCAGCCGCGGUAAUUC
This 406-nucleotide ribosomal RNA is filed under the name uncultured bacterium. RNAcentral describes it as "partial 16S ribosomal RNA". It matches the Rfam family "Bacterial small subunit ribosomal RNA", at positions 30 to 526 of the family's 1533-position model. The record is from RNAcentral.